UUCGUCUCCCUAGUAUUGUCAAAACCAUACGCCCUCCGCCAACCAUCUCCUCGGCACGACAUUUGAGAAACAUAAAAAAAUCUCUUUGAAAUUGCUCGUGGUAUGCUCUUAUUACGCUUGGAGGGCUUGUUGUUGAUAUGUAUAUGUUCCCUUUGUUAGUAUUUUCCAUAAGUAACCUUAGAGAGCCACAUGAGACUAUAGGAUGAGUGGACAAAAUGAAGGCUUUUGUUGAGAAAAAGCCUUGUAUAGAACGAUCCUGGGACUCCAAAAAAGUAACACAGUGGUAAAGACGAGUUGUGGACCAUUAGCUGUGUAAGGUUCUUUUGAAAUUUCGAUAUAGAGAGAAAAAGAGUGUUGAAAUCAUUAUGUGGAAGAUCAUUCAAGUAGAACUGGAUUUCUGGUGAUUCAUGAUGACCUAAUU
Molecule: long non-coding RNA, 421 nt
Filed under: Helianthus annuus (common sunflower)
Lineage: Eukaryota; Viridiplantae; Streptophyta; Magnoliopsida; Asterales; Asteraceae
Description: hypothetical non coding rna
Source: RNAcentral